This 472-nucleotide ribosomal RNA is filed under the name uncultured bacterium. RNAcentral describes it as "SSU rRNA". It matches the Rfam family "Bacterial small subunit ribosomal RNA", at positions 26 to 518 of the family's 1533-position model. The record is from RNAcentral.
AGGACGAACGCUGGCGGCGUGCUUAACACAUGCAAGUCGAGCGGAAAGGCCCUUCGGGGUACUCGAGCGGCGAACGGGUGAGUAACACGUGAGCAACCUGCCCUUAGCUCCGGGAUAGCUCCGGGAAACCGGAAUUAAUACCGGAUACGACCACGGCCGACAUCUGCUGUGGUGGAAAGGAUUCCGGCUAAGGAUGGGCUCGCGGCCUAUCAGCUAGUUGGUGGGGUAAUGGCCCGCCAAGGCGACGACGGGUAGCCGGCCUGAGAGGGCGACCGGCCACACUGGGACUGAGACACGGCCCAGACUCCUACGGGAGGCAGCAGUGGGAAUAUUGCGCAAUGGGCGAAAGCCUGACGCAGCGACGCCGCGUGGGGGAUGAAGGCCUUCGGGUUGUAAACCCCUUUCAGCAGGGACGAAGCGAAAGUGACGGUACUGCAGAAGAAGCGCCGGCUAACUACGUGCCAGCAGCCGC